GCCCGUAUAGCUAAGUGGUUAAGGCGCCACACUUGUAAUGUGGCGAUACCGCAGGUUCAAAUCCUGCUGCGGGCA
This 75-nucleotide transfer RNA is filed under the name Pseudozyma flocculosa PF-1. Its description in RNAcentral is "tRNA-Thr (TGT) (tRNA-Thr-TGT-1-1)". It matches the Rfam family "tRNA". Rfam says of the family: Transfer RNA (tRNA) molecules are approximately 80 nucleotides in length. Their secondary structure includes four short double-helical elements and three loops (D, anti-codon, and T loops). Further hydrogen bonds mediate the characteristic L-shaped molecular structure. tRNAs have two regions of fundamental functional importance: the anti-codon, which is responsible for specific mRNA codon recognition, and the 3' end, to which the tRNAs corresponding amino acid is attached (by aminoacyl-tRNA synthetases). tRNAs cope with the degeneracy of the genetic code in two manners: having more than one tRNA (with a specific anti-codon) for a particular amino acid; and 'wobble' base-pairing, i.e. permitting non-standard base-pairing at the 3rd anti-codon position. Lineage: Eukaryota; Fungi; Basidiomycota; Ustilaginomycetes; Ustilaginales; Ustilaginaceae. The record is from RNAcentral.